RNAcentral lists this ribosomal RNA (253 nucleotides) under uncultured bacterium. RNAcentral describes it as "partial 16S ribosomal RNA". It matches the Rfam family "Bacterial small subunit ribosomal RNA", at positions 524 to 776 of the family's 1533-position model. The record is from RNAcentral.
UACGUAGGGUGCAAGCGUUGUCCGGAAUUAUUGGGCGUAAAGAGCGUGUAGGCGGCCCGGUUAGUCCGCUGUGAAAGUCCAGGGCUUAACCCUGGAAUGCCGGUGGAUACUGUCGGGCUAGAGUCCGGAAGGGGCGAGUGGAAUUCCUGGUGUAGCGGUGAAAUGCGCAGAUAUCAGGAGGAACACCAAUGGCGAAGGCAGCUCGCUGGGACGUGACUGACGCUGAGACGCGAAAGCGUGGGGAGCAAACAGG